This is a non-coding RNA of Schizosaccharomyces pombe (fission yeast), 373 nucleotides long. Lineage: Eukaryota; Fungi; Ascomycota; Schizosaccharomycetes; Schizosaccharomycetales; Schizosaccharomycetaceae. The record is from the annotation of a GenBank genome assembly.
ACCAAAGAUGUAUUUCUAAUGUCAAACCGAACAGAUAAACUGAUGGAUUUUUCAGAUGCUGCUGUAACAGCUGGAGUACUGACUGAGCUCUCAGCUUGAAGAGACUGUACAUCAUCAGGACUUUCAAGUUUCUUUUCCAUCAAUGGUUGCCCGAACCAAUAAUAGAUCGAAAGCAAGUGGUCUAAAGAAAGCACAUACAUGGACUUAAAAAUAUCUCCUUCAAGGAGUAUUGACGAAGUGUCUGGCUUGUAUUGAAAUGAAACUUGAAGCUGACUCUCCGUGUCUGUAGAAGGGAUGAUCACAUUUGAAAAAUAUCUAGAUUUUUCCGAACGAACAUCUUCAAUGGCCAGAGAAGCCAUUUUUAUCAAAGCAG